UAAACUGUGAUCCCCGUGCGGGGUAGAGACACUGUCCAACGCGAUUACCUUCUGUCUACCCCAGCGUUUGGCUGGAUUAUUUAGUUGUUUUACUUCCAUUCCUGUUAUUACAUCUGUAACAGGGGGCUUAAAACGGGGCCCCACGUGGGACAGGAUCUCUGUCCAACUUAACUUGGAUAUACCCAGCGCUCAGUACUGUUCCCCACACAUAGUAAACGCUUAACUAAUGCCCUUAAAUCCCUGGGACUUCUCCGUGUUUUAUGGCAUUCAUUAAGCGCUUAUUACGUGGUAGGCACUGUACAGACCAAUCAGGUCGGACUCGGUGGAAACAGAACGGGCACUGAAUCCCCCUUUUGCGGUCGAGGAAACUGAGGCACAGAGGAGUCAUUUCUCUCUCCCGAGUGGCAGCCCCCGAUGCGAUUCGUAACCUGUGCCAACCCACCUAGCACCCGCGCGUUAUUUGCCUUUUGUGUUGCCCGUUCACUUUUGGCUGCUAGUGAAUGUGGUGUCAAAAAAGGCGCAAAUCAAAUCCGUGGCAGCCCUAUUUUCACUGGAUUCUAUUCCUGUGGUGUACUUGCUGCACAGGAACAUGGCAUGGCAGGUGUGGGGCGCUGGACACAAAGCUGCCCCACGUGGCUAUGGUUAGAUUUGAUUAGCAAAAUAAGGCUUACUCAUUUAUCUUUCUAGUUAUGGAAGAUGGACAGAAUGGUGAAGGCGUACUUAAGGAUCUGAUCAACUCCUGUGAAGAGAUCUGCAAGAACUUAUAGCCACAUUGGAAUCUCUUUCAGUUGUUCUUCCGAGAGGCCCGAUGGAUCCACAAGUUCCUUCCUAGAAAGGAAUGGACAAGGCCUGGGUAUUGGUGAUGACAUGGGCCAGGAAAUAAGCCAAUUGCUCCUGCUGAGAAUUCCAACUUGGUUUCUCCCCACCACUGGCUCAGUGUGGAGUUACAUAUGUGACAUGUUGGCCAUAUUAAAACAGAAAACAAGAUUCAACUUCACAGAUUUCACCUAAAGCACCAUUGUUGAGCGCUUCAUCGGAAGCCCGGAUAAAGUGGUGAUGCCAAAUGAUUACUGAAGUGUCCAAGCUGGGGGAGGAUACCAGAUACUUCAUUCCCAUCAGUCAAUGGUUUGCUGUGAAGAUAAAAUGAGAUCACGGUCGGGAAAAUGCUUUGGAAAAAUAAAACCACUAAAUACUAAAACCUCCGUACAGUACUGUUACUAUUUUUCAGUUCCUCGAAAGAGAUGCGCUAUAAGGCAGUCCAAAGAGAUACCCUCCUGGAAAACAGCACCCACCGGAAAGCAGGCCUUUCUCCCGAUGGUUGGAACCCGAAGAACAGCACCUGUGUGUGGCUGUUAUGCAAUGAGGAUCCUGGGUGGGGCUCUCAGUAUUCAAUAGAGAACCACACAGUUUUAGACAUUGCGACCUGGAAUGCGAGCCUCACAUUUCAACAGUGCUUUCUCCGGAAAGGGAUUCCUCCCACUCAACUCCCUUAACUCAUUGUGGGGGCUUAAUAAGCGUCACAGGAAUAACAAUAAUCAAGAUCUUGUUUUUUGUUGUUUAGAGAGAAAGAAUGGGCACAUGAUUCCCAGUGGCUGUUUUUCCACACACUGUUUAUAGGAAUACAAGAGUACAAGUAAAGGAGAGGAGGGCGGGGACCAUAUAAAACACGAUACAUUUGUAGCUAAUAAAAUAACCUGGAUAUGCAUAAUUCAGAA
Ornithorhynchus anatinus (platypus) is the source of this 1715-nucleotide long non-coding RNA. RefSeq lists it as uncharacterized. NCBI's taxonomy places the organism in Eukaryota, Metazoa, Chordata, Mammalia, Monotremata, Ornithorhynchidae. The record is from RefSeq and is a predicted model, not a curated record. The transcript has 6 exons.